AAAGUCGUAACAAGGUAACCGUAGGUGAACCUGCGGUUGGAUCAUUACCGAUUGCUUUCACUCUCGCUCCUGCAAGGGAGUUUGAGAGUGACUGUACCCACCUCUUGUGAACUGUCCUGUCUCUGGCGGCGGGGCUGGCUGCAACGUCUGUUGUGCUGGCCUGUCAGCUUGGCUAGUCAGCCGUAUAGGCUGGCUAGGUUUCAAGCCGUGGACAAACCGCCAAUGGCUUCGGCCAAUGUUUUAACAUAAUGCGUAUCCAAAUUUCAGUCUGAAGUGAAACCUGUAUAGAAAAUAUACAAACAACUUUUGGCAACGGAUCUCUUGGCUCUC
This 330-nucleotide unclassified non-coding RNA is filed under the name Chytridiomycota sp. Its description in RNAcentral is "partial contains small subunit ribosomal RNA, internal transcribed spacer 1, and 5.8S ribosomal RNA". The stretch from base 1 to 47 matches the Rfam family "Eukaryotic small subunit ribosomal RNA", at positions 1785 to 1831 of the family's 1831-position model. The record is from RNAcentral. Lineage: Eukaryota; Fungi; Chytridiomycota.